RNAcentral lists this ribosomal RNA (1175 nucleotides) under Salmonella enterica. RNAcentral describes it as "partial 23S ribosomal RNA". It matches the Rfam family "Bacterial large subunit ribosomal RNA", at positions 711 to 1782 of the family's 2925-position model. RNAcentral also lists the same sequence under 1 other name. Lineage: Bacteria; Pseudomonadati; Pseudomonadota; Gammaproteobacteria; Enterobacterales; Enterobacteriaceae. The record is from RNAcentral.
AGACCCGAAACCCGGUGAUCUAGCCAUGGGCAGGUUGAAGGUUGGGUAACACUAACUGGAGGACCGAACCGACUAAUGUUGAAAAAUUAGCGGAUGACCUGUGGCUGGGGGUGAAAGGCCAAUCAAACCGGGAGAUAGCUGGUUCUCCCCGAAAGCUAUUUAGGUAGCGCCUCGUGAAUUCAUCUCCGGGGGUAGAGCACUGUUUCGGCUAGGGGGCCAUCCCGGCUUACCAACCCGAUGCAAACUGCGAAUACCGGAGAAUGUUAUCACGGGAGACACACGGCGGGUGCUAACGUCCGUCGUGAAGAGGGAAACAACCCAGACCGCCAGCUAAGGUCCCAAAGUCAUGGUUAAGUGGGAAACGAUGUGGGAAGGCCCAGACAGCCAGGAUGUUGGCUUAGAAGCAGCCAUCAUUUAAAGAAAGCGUAAUAGCUCACUGGUCGAGUCGGCCUGCGCGGAAGAUGUAACGGGGCUAAACCAUGCACCGAAGCUGCGGCAGCGAACGUAUCACCCAAGACAACUUUACGGAGUUGACGAUUGACGGAGCGAAGCGACGUCAAAGCGUUCAUUAAAGUCGAGUUGGCUUAGGGAUACGUUCGUUGGGUAGGGGAGCGUUCUGUAAGCCUGUGAAGGUGUGUCGUGAGGCAUGCUGGAGGUAUCAGAAGUGCGAAUGCUGACAUAAGUAACGAUAAAGCGGGUGAAAAGCCCGCUCGCCGGAAGACCAAGGGUUCCUGUCCAACGUUAAUCGGGGCAGGGUGAGUCGACCCCUAAGGCGAGGCCGAAAGGCGUAGUCGAUGGGAAACGGGUUAAUAUUCCCGUACUUGGUGUUACUGCGAAGGGGGGACGGAGAAGGCUAUGUUGGCCGGGCGACGGUUGUCCCGGUUUAAGCGUGUAGGUGUGUGUUCCAGGUAAAUCCGGUUCACUUUAACACUGAGGCGUGACGACGAGGCACUACGGUGCUGAAGCAACAAAUGCCCUGCUUCCAGGAAAAGCCUCUAAGCAUCAGGUAACACGAAAUCGUACCCCAAACCGACACAGGUGGUCAGGUAGAGAAUACCAAGGCGCUUGAGAGAACUCGGGUGAAGGAACUAGGCAAAAUGGUGCCGUAACUUCGGGAGAAGGCACGCUGACACGUAGGUGAAGUGAUUUACUCAUGGAGCUGAAGUCAGUCGAAG